Molecule: ribosomal RNA, 767 nt
Filed under: Escherichia coli
Lineage: Bacteria; Pseudomonadati; Pseudomonadota; Gammaproteobacteria; Enterobacterales; Enterobacteriaceae
Description: partial 23S ribosomal RNA
Rfam family: Bacterial large subunit ribosomal RNA
Source: RNAcentral
GUGACUGCGUACCUUUUGUAUAAUGGGUCAGCGACUUAUAUUCUGUAGCAAGGUUAACCGAAUAGGGGAGCCGAAGGGAAACCGAGUCUUAACUGGGCGUUAAGUUGCAGGGUAUAGACCCGAAACCCGGUGAUCUAGCCAUGGGCAGGUUGAAGGUUGGGUAACACUAACUGGAGGACCGAACCGACUAAUGUUGAAAAAUUAGCGGAUGACUUGUGGCUGGGGGUGAAAGGCCAAUCAAACCGGGAGAUAGCUGGUUCUCCCCGAAAGCUAUUUAGGUAGCGCCUCGUGAAUUCAUCUCCGGGGGUAGAGCACUGUUUCGGCAAGGGGGUCAUCCCGACUUACCAACCCGAUGCAAACUGCGAAUACCGGAGAAUGUUAUCACGGGAGACACACGGCGGGUGCUAACGUCCGUCGUGAAGAGGGAAACAACCCAGACCGCCAGCUAAGGUCCCAAAGUCAUGGUUAAGUGGGAAACGAUGUGGGAAGGCCCAGACAGCCAGGAUGUUGGCUUAGAAGCAGCCAUCAUUUAAAGAAAGCGUAAUAGCUCACUGGUCGAGUCGGCCUGCGCGGAAGAUGUAACGGGGCUAAACCAUGCACCGAAGCUGCGGCAGCGACACUAUGUGUUGUUGGGUAGGGGAGCGUUCUGUAAGCCUGUGAAGGUGUGCUGUGAGGCAUGCUGGAGGUAUCAGAAGUGCGAAUGCUGACAUAAGUAACGAUAAAGCGGGUGAAAAGCCCGCUCGCCGGAAGACCAAGGGUUCCUGUCC